Non-coding RNA from Triticum aestivum (bread wheat), 58 nucleotides. The record is from Rfam. NCBI's taxonomy places the organism in Eukaryota, Viridiplantae, Streptophyta, Magnoliopsida, Poales, Poaceae.
AGCCAAGUGGAUCAAGGCAGUGGAUUGUGAAUCCACCAUGCGCGGGUUCAAUUCCCGU